RNAcentral lists this ribosomal RNA (372 nucleotides) under uncultured bacterium. RNAcentral describes it as "bacterial SSU rRNA". It matches the Rfam family "Bacterial small subunit ribosomal RNA", at positions 524 to 898 of the family's 1533-position model. The record is from RNAcentral.
UACGGAGGAUGCAAGCGUUAUCCGGAUUCAUUGGGUUUAAAGGGUGCGCAGGUGGGCUUGUAAGUCAGUGGUGAAAUGCUGCCGCUUAACGGUAGAACUGCCAUUGAUACUGCAAGUCUUGAAUAUGGUUGAGGUAGGCGGAAUGUGUUGUGUAGCGGUGAAAUGCAUAGAUAUGACACAGAACGCCGAUUGCGAAGGCAGCUUACUAAGCCAUAAUUGACGCUGAGGCACGAAAGCGUGGGGAGCGAACAGGAUUAGAUACCCUGGUAGUCCACGCCGUAAACGAUGAUCACUCGCUGUUUGCGAUACACAGUAAGCGGCUGAGCGAAAGCAUUAAGUGAUCCACCUGGGGAGUACGAUCGCAAGGUUGAA